Molecule: long non-coding RNA, 1042 nt
Organism: Manihot esculenta (cassava)
Lineage: Eukaryota; Viridiplantae; Streptophyta; Magnoliopsida; Malpighiales; Euphorbiaceae
Exons: 2
Source: RefSeq, a predicted model, not a curated record
UUCACUCUUAUUCGGAAAAUUUUUUUUUACGAACCAAGAUUUGUAAAAAGUCCUGAUUUUUUAUUGUCGGUCGUCCCCUUGUCCCAUCCGAGCAAGGGAUGGCUUUGAUCGUCUCCUCAUCUGAAAGUGAAAAAGGAAAAAUAUUUUAUUCUCUGAGGUUGCUCUCCUUCCCUUGUAUGGCUUAAUUUCUAGAGAACCCUGAACGAUUUGUGCUUCUCUCAUUUCAAAUCUAAAAAAUUGUUUCUAGUAGCCCGUGAGACAUGGUUCUGAAAAGUGAAACGCCGUGAAGCCUGCCGUUCCGGCUUGUUAGUUAUUAUCUCUUCUUCUUUGGGGUCUUCUCUUGAAGCUACUCAGCACCAGAGGCCGAGGUUGACUGAUUUGAUCUCUUUCUGUACUGCUUUCCUGUGUUGCUGCUCCUUGGUGUCUUCUAUUUGUUUAUGGCAUUGGACGAUGUAGCUAUGGGACCUCCGAUGAGCGGUGCAAAUGGGGCAUCUUCUCUUUUCUUUUCUCGGGUUGCCGAGUCAAGCUCUAGGUUCUAGAGAUCCAUUUUACAUGGAUUCUAGAUAUGGUCUUAAAGCCCAGUAUGAUUUAGAGUCUUUAUAAGUUUGUUGCUUACUAUUGUGGAGCCUCUGUUCAUUGCCUGUGGACCUUUUUCAGUAAUGAAUAUUACUUUUGAGUACAGUAAUUACUCAAAAAUAUAAUAAAAUAGUUAUUAUUUUUAAAAAUGUCUUAAGAAAAUUAAAAUAGUAGACAUCCAAUCUAUUAAUAAUUAACAGCUCACUACAGGUUACCCACAAUCAUAUUUAUCUUUAAGUUCGUACCAGUGGCAGACCCAGGUAUACAUAGAAACACCUGAAAAUAUAAAAAAACCAUCACCAUCACCAUCCCCAUCCCCAUCUUCAUCUUCAAGUUGUCCAUGUAAUAUUACAAUCAUACGCCCAGAAAUAAUGUGCAAGCUAUAUAAGAAGGCCCUUUUAAGUUGCCGAUACAGCAUUGAGUCUCGUGUUUGUAUACGCGAGGAAAUAUUUGGCAGCUGCAAAAA